CCCGAACGCGGGACUGCGGCCACGCUCUGCGCCGGCUGGCGGUUCUUCUCCGCGACAUUAAAGAUACGACAAAAGCGGCGUGUGUUGGCUCCUCCUCCGCUGCGCCUUUCCCAGCCCGGCAUACCGGGAGUUCAGGCUGGGAGAAGAGUGACUGGAAAGCUGCCUGGGGAAAAUCAGCCUGGGGCUGCUGCUUGAGGGUAGCUGAACAUGAGCGAGCAGCGGACCCAGGUAGCCAAGAAGCCCAAUGGCAUCGUGGCCUCUGCCAGCAAGAGUGGGGCCAGCAGGACCACGGCAGUGAUUGUCCCUCUGCUCAGCACUGGAAGAGUGCCGGGCUGAGGGACGAGUGCAGAGCUGUCACAUCAUGGCUGAGGUGUUCGCUGACGUUUCCACUUCAUGCCUGAGUUUUCACCCAGUAUUUGAUUCCUAUUCUUUCAGAGAAGAUCCUCAUUCCAUUGCAAAGAAUCAUUAUUAAAUGUAACUCAGUUUAAAACUCUGCUUCGAUUUGUGCCAGCAUUUGUUCCCUUUUGCAAUAGAAGGAAUUCCUGAUCCGCUGUCCUGCCGGUAAAGCCAAGUUUUUCGUG
Long non-coding RNA from Motacilla alba alba, 581 nucleotides. RefSeq lists it as uncharacterized. The transcript has 3 exons. NCBI's taxonomy places the organism in Eukaryota, Metazoa, Chordata, Aves, Passeriformes, Motacillidae. The record is from RefSeq and is a predicted model, not a curated record.